This 516-nucleotide ribosomal RNA is filed under the name uncultured Glomus. Its description in RNAcentral is "SSU rRNA". It matches the Rfam family "Eukaryotic small subunit ribosomal RNA", at positions 579 to 1099 of the family's 1831-position model. Lineage: Eukaryota; Fungi; Glomeromycota; Glomeromycetes; Glomerales; Glomeraceae. The record is from RNAcentral.
GUAUUCCGCUCCAUAGCGUAUAUUAAAGUUGUUGCAGUUAAAAAGCUCGUAGUUGAAUUUCGGGGUCAGUAGGUUGGUCAUGCCACUGGUAUGUACUGGUCUCACUGAUUCCUCCUUCCUGAUGAGCCGUAAUGCCAUUAAUUUGGUGUUGCGAGGAAUCUGGACUGUUACUUUGAAAAAAUUAGAGUGUUUAAAGCAGGCUAACGCUUGAAUACAUUAGCAUGGAAUAAUGAAAUAGGACGUUCGAUCUUAUUUUGUUGGUUUCUAAGAUUGACGUAAUGAUUAAUAGGGAUAGUUGGGGGCAUUAGUAUUCAAUUGUCAGAGGUGAAAUUCUUGGAUUUAUUGAAGACUAACUACUGCGAAAGCAUUUGCCAAGGAUGUUUUCAUUAAUCAAGAACGAAAGUUAGGGGAUCGAAGACGAUCAGAUACCGUCGUAGUCUUAACCAUAAACUAUGCCGACUAGGGAUCGGAUGAUGUUAAUUUUUUAAUGACUCAUUCGGCNCCUUACGGGAAACA